UGGGGAAUAUUGCACAAUGGAGGGAACUCUGAUGCAGCGACGCCGCGUGAACGAAGAAGGCUUUCGAGUCGUAAAGUUCUUUUAUAUGGGAAGAUAAUGACGGUACCAUAAGAAAAAGCCCCGGCUAACUACGUGCCAUCAGCCGCGGUAAUACGUAGGGGGCUAGCGUUGUCCGGAAUCACUGGGCGUAAAGGGUUCGCAGGCGGAAAUGCAAGUCAGGUGUAAAAGGCAGUAGCUUAACUACUGUAAGCAUUUGAAACUGCAUAUCUUGAGAAGAGUAGAGGUAAGUGGAAUUUUUAGUGUAGCGGUGAAAUGCGUAGAUAUUAAAAAGAAUACCGGUGGCGAAGGCGGCUUACUGGGCUCAUUCUGACGCUGAGGAACGAAAGCGUGGGUAGCAAACAGG
This 403-nucleotide ribosomal RNA is filed under the name bacterium. RNAcentral describes it as "partial 16S ribosomal RNA". It matches the Rfam family "Bacterial small subunit ribosomal RNA", at positions 355 to 776 of the family's 1533-position model. The record is from RNAcentral.